AUCAAGUAAAUUCAUCAAGCACAUCAGGUGGUCCAACAUUUUCAGAGCAAGUAGUAAAGCCAAGAGUACACACCAAAAUAAAAAUAAAAAUUCAACCUAUUCUAUGAAUUUAAAAAGAAACAAAAUAAAACAAAUAAAAGAAAGAAAUAAAAGUAAAAGAAAGAAAGACUAAGUCCUGUCUAUAGACAUCCCUCAGUAAAUGUCUGCUAUCAGCCCAUGCUGUCAUCGGAGUCGUCCUGACUCUCAUCAUCUGCGUCCUCA
RNAcentral lists this long non-coding RNA (261 nucleotides) under Vigna radiata. RNAcentral's name for it is "long non-coding RNA (VRAD_LNC014307)". Lineage: Eukaryota; Viridiplantae; Streptophyta; Magnoliopsida; Fabales; Fabaceae. The record is from RNAcentral.